GGUCUGGGAUGGGCUCGCGGCCUAUCAGCUUGUUGGUGAGGUAAUGGCUCACCAAGGCGUCGACGGGUAGCCGGCCUGAGAGGGUGACCGGCCACACUGGGACUGAGACACGGCCCAGACUCCUACGGGAGGCAGCAGUGGGGAAUAUUGCACAAUGGGCGGAAGCCUGAUGCAGCAACGCCGCGUGAGGGAUGACGGCCUUCGGGUUGUAAACCUCUUUUAGCAGGGAAGAAGCGAGAGUGACGGUACCUGCAGAAAAAGCGCCGGCUAACUACGUGCCAGCAGCCGCGGUAAUACGUAGGGCGCAAGCGUUAUCCGGAAUUAUUGGGCGUAAAGAGCUCGUAGGCGGUUUGUCGCGUCUGCUGUGAAAUCCCGAGGCUCAACCUCGGGCCUGCAGUGGGUACGGGCAGACUAGAGUGCGGUAGGGGAGAUUGGAAUUCCUGGUGUAGCGGUGGAAUGCGCAGAUAUCAGGAGGAACACCGAUGGCGAAGGCAGAUCUCUGGGCCGUAACUGACGCUGAGGAGCGAAAGGGUGGGGAGCAAACAGGCUUAGAUACCCUGGUAGUCCACCCCGUAAACGUUGGGAACUAGUUGUGGGGACCAUUCCACGGUUUCCGUGACGCAGCUAACGC
RNAcentral lists this ribosomal RNA (631 nucleotides) under Microbacterium aurantiacum. Its description in RNAcentral is "partial 16S ribosomal RNA". It matches the Rfam family "Bacterial small subunit ribosomal RNA", at positions 217 to 858 of the family's 1533-position model. The record is from RNAcentral. Lineage: Bacteria; Bacillati; Actinomycetota; Actinomycetes; Micrococcales; Microbacteriaceae.